RNAcentral lists this ribosomal RNA (467 nucleotides) under Priestia megaterium. RNAcentral describes it as "bacterial SSU rRNA". It matches the Rfam family "Bacterial small subunit ribosomal RNA", at positions 63 to 515 of the family's 1533-position model. Lineage: Bacteria; Bacillati; Bacillota; Bacilli; Caryophanales; Bacillaceae. The record is from RNAcentral.
CGAACUGAUUAGAAGCUUGCUUCUAUGACGUUAGCGGCGGACGGGUGAGUAACACGUGGGCAACCUGCCUGUAAGACUGGGAUAACUUCGGGAAACCGAAGCUAAUACCGGAUAGGAUCUUCUCCUUCAUGGGAGAUGAUUGAAAGAUGGUUUCGGCUAUCACUUACAGAUGGGCCCGCGGUGCAUUAGCUAGUUGGUGAGGUAACGGCUCACCAAGGCAACGAUGCAUAGCCGACCUGAGAGGGUGAUCGGCCACACUGGGACUGAGACACGGCCCAGACUCCUACGGGAGGCAGCAGUAGGGAAUCUUCCGCAAUGGACGAAAGUCUGACGGAGCAACGCCGCGUGAGUGAUGAAGGCUUUCGGGUCGUAAAACUCUGUUGUUAGGGAAGAACAAGUACGAGAGUAACUGCUCGUACCUUGACGGUACCUAACCAGAAAGCCACGGCUAACUACGUGCCAGAGGG